AUCCAGAUGACAAGUCCCAAAUAGGACGAAAUGCACAUUGUGGAU
This 45-nucleotide non-coding RNA is filed under the name Trichobilharzia regenti. The record is from RNAcentral. Lineage: Eukaryota; Metazoa; Platyhelminthes; Trematoda; Strigeidida; Schistosomatidae.